AUGCUCAUUGCACCAGAAGUGAGGACUGAGCUGAAGAGCUGGGCAGUGUGGGGAGGUUUGGCAGACACUGCUUGGCCAGGAGCAGUUCUGCUGAGCGAUUUGCAGCACUGUCCUUGGGGGCAGCGAGUGCUGGGCACAGCCUAUACAAACCUGUGUGCAUGGAGCAUCCUGUGGCGAGGGAUGACGCUCCCCGCCCCGCUUACCCUUCCCGUUCAGGCGCUGUUGGGAACAAGGCGUGGAGGCUGCACUGGCUGCAGCAACGCAGUCUGUAUGCAGACGCUUCCUUGCCCACCGCCACUUUCGCUUCUGAGGUGGGACUUGGCGGGAGAGGGGUCCCGCCAAGUGGGGGUCCCGCCAAGUGGGGGUCCCCAGGGACCCCCACUAAGUGCCGUCCACCAGGGAUGUCCCCGUGCCCCUCCUCGCCCCGCAGCCCCCCAGGCUUCCCGACACGCACGGCCCGCGCGACCCCCGCCGCCCCCAGGGCAGCCAGACCCUCCGGCCGCACGGGAGGAGCCUGGCAUCCCCGACGGCCUCUCCCCGCCCCUGCCCGCCUCCCGCUGCCUGUCCAUCCACCCUUGCGUCCCUCCGACUUUCUCCACAUUGCAGAUGCUUCUCCAUCUACGUAGCCCUGCAUCUUCCCGUUUGCCUGAACAUCUCUUGCUCGGUCUCUCCAUCUCUUCCUCUUCCGUCCCUUCCGUUUGCCUGUUGUUUGCCUCUUACUGCCUCUUCCCCUUCCUCUUCUAUCUCUUCAGUGCAUCCGAUUGUCUGUCUCUCCCAGCUGACGACCCCCGCUGUUAUUCUGGUGAGUGCCUGCUUGUUUGUUCUACGUUUUGUUAUUUGCUCCCUGUUGUCUGUUCAUUGUCCUCCAUCACUGGGAAGAGCUUGCUCCUGUUCAAUCCAUCCCUCUGCCCAUCACUCAGCCCUACUUCCGCAAGGAAGAAGAAAGAAAACACCCUAUUUGGUUUCUUUGUCCACACUGUCAGCAUAAUGGUGGGGUGGGGAUUUUUCUGA
This 1011-nucleotide long non-coding RNA is filed under the name Cairina moschata (Muscovy duck). RNAcentral describes it as "domestica (muscovy Duck (domestic type)) lncRNA (ENSCMMG00000010908.1)". The record is from RNAcentral. Lineage: Eukaryota; Metazoa; Chordata; Aves; Anseriformes; Anatidae.